Molecule: ribosomal RNA, 666 nt
Filed under: uncultured bacterium
Lineage: Bacteria
Description: bacterial SSU rRNA
Rfam family: Bacterial small subunit ribosomal RNA
Source: RNAcentral
UGCAAGUCGAGCGGAUUGAUGGGAGCUUGCUCCCUGAUAUCAGCGGCGGACGGGUGAGUAACACGUGGGCAACCUGCCUAUAAGACUGGGAUAACUUCGGGAAACCGGAGCUAAUACCGGAUGACCCCUUUCCUCUCAUGAGGAAAGGCUGAAAGAUGGUUUACGCUAUCACUUAUAGAUGGGCCCGCGGCGCAUUAGCUAGUUGGUGAGGUAACGGCUCACCAAGGCAACGAUGCGUAGCCGACCUGAGAGGGUGAUCGGCCACACUGGGACUGAGACACGGCCCAGACUCCUACGGGAGGCAGCAGUAGGGAAUCUUCCGCAAUGGACGAAAGUCUGACGGAGCAACGCCGCGUGAGUGAUGAAGGUUUUCGGAUCGUAAAACUCUGUUGUUAGGGAAGAACAAGUACGAGAGUAACUGCUCGUACCUUGACGGUACCUAACCAGAAAGCCACGGCUAACUACGUGCCAGCAGCCGCGGUAAUACGUAGGUGGCAAGCGUUGUCCGGAAUUAUUGGGCGUAAAGCGCGCGCAGGCGGUCCUUUAAGUCUGAUGUGAAAGCCCACGGCUCAACCGUGGAGGGUCAUUGGAAACUGGGGGACUUGAGUACAGAAGAGAAGAGUGGAAUUCCACGUGUAGCGGUGAAAUGCGUAGAGAUGUGGAGGA